GUGAAGAUGCGGACUACUAAUACUUGGACAGAAAGACCCUAUGAAGCUUGACUGUAUCCUGGAAUUGGGUUCGGGCUUUUCUUGCGCAGUCUAGGUGGGAGGCUAUGAAGAUUUCCUUCCGGGGAAGUUGGAGCCAUCAGUGAGAGACCACUCUGGAGAGGCUAGAAUCCUAAUGGUGAUCCUUGAAUCAGGACACUUGACAGUUUCAGGUGGGCAGUUUUUCUGGGGCGGAAGCCUCUUAAAGGGUAACUGAGGCGCGCAAAGGUCCCCUCAGUCUGGACGGAAAUCAGACAACGAGUGUAAAGGCAAAAGGCGGCUUGACUGCAAGACCUACAAGUCGAGCAGGAGCGAAAGCUGGCCUUAGUGAUCCGACGGUACCGAGUGGAAGGGCCGUCGCUCAACGAAUAAAAGUUACUCUAUGGAUAACAGGCU
RNAcentral lists this ribosomal RNA (432 nucleotides) under uncultured Acutodesmus. Its description in RNAcentral is "bacterial LSU rRNA". It matches the Rfam family "Bacterial large subunit ribosomal RNA", at positions 2053 to 2483 of the family's 2925-position model. The record is from RNAcentral. Lineage: Eukaryota; Viridiplantae; Chlorophyta; Chlorophyceae; Sphaeropleales; Scenedesmaceae.